GAUAUCUGGCUUGAGGCAGCCAAGCGCGUUUAAGAACGUUCUUAGAGACCUCACUUUUUGAUCCUUCGAUGUUGGCUCUUCCUAUCAUUGUGAAGCAGAAUUUACCAAGCGUUGGAUUGUUCACCCACUAAUAGGGAAUGUGAGCUGGGUUUAGACCGUCAUGAGAUAGGGUU
RNAcentral lists this non-coding RNA (173 nucleotides) under Mus musculus (house mouse). Its description in RNAcentral is "Eukaryotic large subunit ribosomal RNA". It matches the Rfam family "Eukaryotic large subunit ribosomal RNA", at positions 2825 to 2984 of the family's 3401-position model. Lineage: Eukaryota; Metazoa; Chordata; Mammalia; Rodentia; Muridae. The record is from Rfam by way of RNAcentral.